CAAUCCUGUCUGGGUGAGGAUGUGACCUUGGUGUGGAUCCUCGUGUCUGAAGGAAGGCUACACAGUGUUUUCUUAGUACUGUAGCUCCAUGUCUGCAGCCCCGCUGUCAAUCUUCCACAAGGAGGUAGAGCAAGCUUAGACUCUGCCCCAAAGAACCAUGUGACACCCGGGCACUGCCCUAGCAGUGGGAACUGAGUGGCAAGCCCAUGCAAAUGGAAUUUAGGGUCUCGAUGGGGAGACAGAGCCCCUAAGACAGCCAAGUCAACCAACCGCGGCGACGUUCAAGGCUGCCCACCUGCAGGGGCCUGCUGUACCAGGAAGCAGAAGAAGGCAGAACUCUGGCCAGGAGAACCAGCACUGCUCUACCCAAGCAAAGAGAGUGUCACAGCGAGUGCUCUGAGCAGUUCCAAUGUCUUUAUUGUGACUCCUUCCUAUUUCGAGAUUCUAAAAGCACCUGAUGUUUUCCAAAGUUGUUUUCCAUUGCAUUGCAGGGAGACAUGUAACCCCCAGCCCCCCAGACCUGACUGCAGGAGCACCACCUGUGCAGGUGGGGCAGCAUGGGCCCAGACUCCUCCUUCCAUUUCCGCAGGAAGGUCUCUUCCCCUGGAGGACUUAGCCUUAUUGCCGUCACAUGUGACCAGCGUUGGAGCGUGUUUCCAAGCUGCACCUGCAUGGGAUUGCUUAUCCAUUUCCCACUAAAAUCAAAGACACCUGUUUACCCGGGAGCUGCAGCAAUGAUUGCUGUGGUCUCCUUAUUUACUGCAAAUACAUUACUGUGUGAGGCAAUUCUGCUGGUGCAUUUCUUAAUCGAACUCUCCAGAAGGCAAGCCUUCAACCACUGCAGAACUGCUGCCUUUGCAACUUGGACUCCAGCCCCAAGGAGGAGGGCUAUGUGUGCGGCUGAGGGAGGGAGGUGAAGCCCAAGGAGGGACCCAGGAUCUCUUUGCCCCAUCUCCCAACCACGCCUUUGAUCUUUGUUUUUGCUGCUCCCUGUGUUUCAAGUGCCCUCCUCGCUCUCCAUCUCCACCUCAGA
This is a long non-coding RNA of Lepus europaeus (European hare), 1033 nucleotides long. RefSeq lists it as uncharacterized. The record is from RefSeq and is a predicted model, not a curated record. The transcript is spliced from 3 exons. Lineage: Eukaryota; Metazoa; Chordata; Mammalia; Lagomorpha; Leporidae.